Molecule: long non-coding RNA, 334 nt
Filed under: Patiria miniata (bat star)
Lineage: Eukaryota; Metazoa; Echinodermata; Asteroidea; Valvatida; Asterinidae
Description: uncharacterized LOC119739229
Source: RNAcentral
AGAUUCUUAUAAGAUUCUUAUAAGAUUCUUAUAAGAGUAUUUCGUAGGGGCGUGACAUCGUGAAUCGUAAGGCCAGACUAGCCUGGGAGUUGUACCUUAAGAUGGAGACGUCUGGCGAAUCGUUCAGCCUGCUGUAGCUCAUUGCCAACGACGGCUACAAGAUGGCCAGUUCUACUAUGCGACCAAGGCUUUCGAUGUCCUGGAAAGAUUGGACCCCAAUCCUGAAUACUGGGAAGGCAAGCGAGGGGCGUGCGUGGGCGCAUUCCAGCAGAUCAUAGCUGGUCAUGAACCAAGAGAAACACUGCGAGACAUCCUCCAAAUCUUGCGCAACACC